GUAGGAGGCGAGCGUUAUCCGGAUUCACUGGGCGUAAAGCGCGUGCAGGUGGUUCGGUAAGUUGGGCGUGAAAUCUCCCGGCUCAACUGGGAGAGGUCGUCCAAUACUACCAAACUUGAGAGCAGAAGAGGAAGAUGGAAUUCCCGGUGUAGUGGUGAAAUGCGUAGAUAUCGGGAGGAACACCAGUGGCGAAGGCGAUCUUCUGGUCUGUUUCUGACACUCAGACGCGACAGCUAGGGUAGUAAACGGGAUUAGAGACCCCGGUAAUCCUAGCCGUAAACGAUGUGAACUUGGCGUUGGUGGGUUAAACUCCAUCAGUGCCGAAGCAAACGCGAUAAGUUCACCGCCUGGGGACUACGGCCGCAAGGUUA
RNAcentral lists this ribosomal RNA (371 nucleotides) under uncultured bacterium. Its description in RNAcentral is "bacterial SSU rRNA". It matches the Rfam family "Bacterial small subunit ribosomal RNA", at positions 527 to 896 of the family's 1533-position model. The record is from RNAcentral.